AAUAUAUAGGGAUCUGCCUAAUAGUGGGGGACAACGUGUGGAAACGCACGCUAAUACCGCAUACGCUCUACGGAGGAAAGUGGGGGGUCUUCGGACCUCAUGCUAUUAGAUGAACCUAUAUCGGAUUGGCUUGUUGGUGAGGUAAUGGCUCACCAAGGCGACGAUCCGUAGCUGGUUUGAGAGAAUGAUCAGCCACACUGGGACUGAGACACGGCCCAG
Molecule: ribosomal RNA, 219 nt
Filed under: uncultured bacterium
Lineage: Bacteria
Description: partial 16S ribosomal RNA
Rfam family: Bacterial small subunit ribosomal RNA
Source: RNAcentral